GAUGAACGCUAGCGGCAGGCUUAACACAUGCAAGUCGAGGGGUAACAUUAGUGCUUGCACUAGAUGACGACCGGCGCACGGGUGCGUAACGCGUAUAGAAUCUACCUUUUACAGGGGGAUAGCCUUUAGAAAUGAAGAUUAAUAUCCCAUGGUAUUGCGAAGUGGCAUCACUUUGUAAUUAAAGAUUUAUCGGUAAAAGAUGACUAUGCGUCCUAUUAGUUAGUUGGUAAGGUAACGGCUUACCAAGACAUCGAUAGGUAGGGGUCCUGAGAGGGAGAUCCCCCACACUGGUACUGAGACACGGACCAGACUCCUACGGGAGGCAGCAGUGAGGAAUAUUGGGCAAUGGAGGCAACUCUGACCCAGCCAUGCCGCGUGCAGGAAGACUGCCCUAUGGGUUGUAAACUGCUUUUAUACAGGAAGAAACACUGCUACGUGUAGCAGCUUGACGGUACUGUAAGAAUAAGGACCGGCUAACUCCG
RNAcentral lists this ribosomal RNA (482 nucleotides) under uncultured Polaribacter sp. Its description in RNAcentral is "bacterial SSU rRNA". It matches the Rfam family "Bacterial small subunit ribosomal RNA", at positions 28 to 505 of the family's 1533-position model. Lineage: Bacteria; Pseudomonadati; Bacteroidota; Flavobacteriia; Flavobacteriales; Flavobacteriaceae. The record is from RNAcentral.